RNAcentral lists this ribosomal RNA (455 nucleotides) under Enterobacter cloacae. Its description in RNAcentral is "bacterial SSU rRNA". It matches the Rfam family "Bacterial small subunit ribosomal RNA", at positions 883 to 1342 of the family's 1533-position model. Lineage: Bacteria; Pseudomonadati; Pseudomonadota; Gammaproteobacteria; Enterobacterales; Enterobacteriaceae. The record is from RNAcentral.
CGGUCGCAAGAUUAAAACUCAAAGGAAUUGACGGGGACCCGCACAAGCGGUGGAUGAUGUGGAUUAAUUCGAUGCAACGCGAAAAACCUUACCUACCCUUGACAUGUCUGGAAAGCCGAAGAGAUUUGGCCGUGCUCGCAAGAGAACCGGAACACAGGUGCUGCAUGGCUGUCGUCAGCUCGUGUCGUGAGAUGUUGGGUUAAGUCCCGCAACGAGCGCAACCCUUGUCAUUAGUUGCUACGCAAGAGCACUCUAAUGAGACUGCCGGUGACAAACCGGAGGAAGGUGGGGAUGACGUCAAGUCCUCAUGGCCCUUAUGGGUAGGGCUUCACACGUCAUACAAUGGUCGGGACAGAGGGUCGCCAACCCGCGAGGGGGAGCCAAUCUCAGAAACCCGAUCGUAGUCCGGAUCGCAGUCUGCAACUCGACUGCGUGAAGUCGGAAUCGCUAGUAUC